Molecule: microRNA precursor, 111 nt
Filed under: Procavia capensis (Cape rock hyrax)
Lineage: Eukaryota; Metazoa; Chordata; Mammalia; Hyracoidea; Procaviidae
Description: miRNA (ENSPCAG00000019171.1)
Source: RNAcentral
GAGAGAGUAGCGUUGUAGGGCUCCACCACUGUGUCGGACACCUUGGGCGAGGGCACCACGCUGAAGGUGUUCAUGAUCCGGUCAGGGUACUCCUCCCGAAUCUUGCUGAUG